UAUAAGCACAUACUCACACUGAAUUCAACGUUAGGGAAAGUGAAUAAGUGUCCAUAGGUUUAGGGAUUUAGGUAAAAAUAUAUAUAAUCUUAGUCGGUAGAAAUCCAAGUUGCAAUCCGUGUGGUACGUAGAUACCUCUGGUAACUGCAGUCCCACGUUUGCAUGCAGUGGACUGGCAGUUUAGAAUAGUGUAGGGAUUUAGGUUUAGGGACUUAGGUAAAUACAUGAAGAGUUUAAAAAGGAAUGACGGGGCUCACUUGAGUUCCCUGAGGUCGACUCUUAGUCUGUAGAAAUCCAAGUUACAAUCCGUGUGGUACGUAGAUACCUCUGGUGACUGGGGUCCCACGUUUGCAUGCAGUGGGCUGGCAGUUUAGAAUAGAGCAGGGAUUUAUGUUAAUUUUAGUCUGUAGAAAUCCAAGUUGCAAUCCGUGUGGUACGUAGAUACCUCUGGUUUAGGGACUUAGGUAAAUAUAUGAAGAGUUUAAAAAGGAAUGACGGGGCUCACUUGAGUUCCCUGAG
Long non-coding RNA from Gasterosteus aculeatus aculeatus (three-spined stickleback), 519 nucleotides. NCBI's taxonomy places the organism in Eukaryota, Metazoa, Chordata, Actinopteri, Perciformes, Gasterosteidae. The record is from Ensembl.